UCAGUAGCGGCGAGUGAAGCGGCAAAAGCUCAAAUUUGAAAUCUGGCGUCUUUGGCGUCCGAGUUGUAAUUUGAAGAAGGUAUCUUUGGGCCCGGCUCUUGUCUAUGUUCCUUGGAACAGGACGUCACAGAGGGUGAGAAUCCCGUGCGAUGAGAUGACCCGGGUCUGUGUAAAGUUCCUUCGACGAGUCGAGUUGUUUGGGAAUGCAGCUCUAAGUGGGUGGUAAAUUCCAUCUAAAGCUAAAUAUUGGCGAGAGACCGAUAGCGAACAAGUACAGUGAUGGAAAGAUGAAAAGAACUUUGAAAAGAGAGUGAAAAAGUACGUGAAAUUGUUGAAAGGGAAGGGCUUGAGAUCAGACUUGGUAUUUUGCAUGCUGCUCUCUCGGGGGCGGCCGCUGCGGUUUACCGGGCCAGCAUCGGUUUGGAGCGGCAGGAUAAUGGCGGAGGAAUGUGGCACGGCUUCUGCUGUGUGUUAUAGCCUCUGACGAUGCUGCCAGCCUAGACCGAGGACUGCGGUUUUUACCCUAGGAGGUUGGCUUAAGGAUCUUAAGUCGCCCGCCUU
This 561-nucleotide ribosomal RNA is filed under the name Candida albicans. RNAcentral's name for it is "eukaryotic LSU rRNA". It matches the Rfam family "Eukaryotic large subunit ribosomal RNA", at positions 80 to 655 of the family's 3401-position model. Lineage: Eukaryota; Fungi; Ascomycota; Pichiomycetes; Serinales; Debaryomycetaceae. The record is from RNAcentral.